GAUGAACGCUGGCGGCGUGCCUAAUACAUGCAAGUCGAGCGAACAGACGAGGAGCUUGCUCCUCUUACUUUAUCGGCUGACGUGUGAGUAACACGUUGAUAACCUACCUAUAAUACUGGUAUAACUUCGUGAAACCUUAGCUAAUACCGGCUAAUAUAUUUAACCGCAUGGUUCAUUAGUUAAAUACUUUUUUUCUUUCUCUUCUCGAUUGUUCCGCGCCGCAUUAGCUAGUUGGUAAGGUAACGGCUUACCAAGGGAACGAUGCGUAGCCGACCUGAGAGGGGGAUAGGACAAACGGGAAGUGAGACACGGACAAGACGACGACGGGAGGAAGCAGUAGGGAAUAGUCGGAAAUGGGCGAAAGCAUGACGGAGCAAAGCAGCGGGAGGGAUGAAGGUAUUAGGAUCGGAAAAAACGGUUAUGAGGGAAGAAAAAAAGUGUAAGAAAAGAUGGAGGGAGUGACGGUAACUAAAAAGAAAGCAACGGCUAACUACGUG
Molecule: ribosomal RNA, 497 nt
Filed under: uncultured bacterium
Lineage: Bacteria
Description: partial 16S ribosomal RNA
Rfam family: Bacterial small subunit ribosomal RNA
Source: RNAcentral